This 28-nucleotide non-coding RNA is filed under the name Mus musculus (house mouse). The record is from RNAcentral. Lineage: Eukaryota; Metazoa; Chordata; Mammalia; Rodentia; Muridae.
UGCAAGGCGAUUUUUCGCAGAAGAGAGC